This 377-nucleotide ribosomal RNA is filed under the name uncultured bacterium. RNAcentral describes it as "bacterial SSU rRNA". It matches the Rfam family "Bacterial small subunit ribosomal RNA", at positions 523 to 898 of the family's 1533-position model. The record is from RNAcentral.
AUACGUAGGGUGCGAGCGUUAAUCGGAAUUACUGGGCGUAAAGCGUGCGCAGGCGGUUCGCUAAGACAGGUGUGAAAUCCCCGGGCUUAACCUGGGAACUGCGCUUGUGACUGGCGGGCUAGAGUACGGCAGAGGGGGGUGGAAUUCCACGUGUAGCAGUGAAAUGCGUAGAUAUGUGGAGGAACACCGAUGGCGAAGGCAGCCCCCUGGGCCUGUACUGACGCUCAUGCACGAAAGCGUGGGGAGCAAACAGGAUUAGAUACCCUGGUAGUCCACGCCCUAAACGAUGUCAACUAGUCGUUCGGAGCGGUAACGCACUGAGUGACGCAGCUAACGCGUGAAGUUGACCGCCUGGGGAGUACGGCCGCAAGGUUAAA